CAUUUUCUAAAGCUUUUUGGAUUUCUACCACUUAUAUUUGUGUACAAGUUCUUUAAGAAAAUGAUGAGAGAAACUUUUAAAUGAGCUUAUGAUAAUUGUUUUAUCUUCUGCUUUAUCCCCCAUUUCCCCUUUUGCUUUCUGCUUGUUUAUAUCUUGGAAUAUUAUCUAAGACUUUUUAUGAAUUUCAUUAUCUUAUUAUUUUUUUGUGAAUUUCAUUCUCUUAUUAUUUUUGUCAAUUUCAUUAGAUGUAUUGUAAUGAAAAAAGAUGGCUCAUUAUUUUGGUUUGCUUUAUGUGUGAUCAUCAGGAAUUGGAUUUUUUGGUUGAGG
Molecule: unclassified non-coding RNA, 327 nt
Filed under: Hevea brasiliensis (rubber tree)
Lineage: Eukaryota; Viridiplantae; Streptophyta; Magnoliopsida; Malpighiales; Euphorbiaceae
Source: RNAcentral